GAAGACCUUGCCACAUUCAUUACAUUUGUUAGGUUUCUCACCGGCAUGAAUUAUCAGAUGUUGGGCAAGGUAUGAAUUGCGACUGAAGACCUUGCCACAUUCAUUACAUUUGUAAGGUUUCUCUCCAGUGUGGAUUCUCCAGUGAUUUACUAGGGAUGACUUGUGACUGAAGACCUUGCCACACUCAUUACAUUUGUAAGGUUUCUCUCCAGUGUGGAUUCUCUGAUGUUGUGCAAGGUGUGAAAUAUGAUGGAAGACCUUUCCACAUACAUUACAUCUGUAAGGUUUCUCUCCAGUAU
This 299-nucleotide long non-coding RNA is filed under the name Homo sapiens (human). RNAcentral's name for it is "HSALNT0261937". The record is from RNAcentral. Lineage: Eukaryota; Metazoa; Chordata; Mammalia; Primates; Hominidae.